UUUUUUUUUUUAAUAGUUUCAAGAAGUCUUCCUUGGAAUAGUACUAAUAGUAUGGCCAUUUCUUUCUGUUCCUGACCGCUAGCUCGUCCUGAUACUGUGCUGACCCUGGAGACUGACUGGGCAGACAUUCUCACUGUGGAUAGUUUGACAUUACGGUGUGAUGUACAGGUCAAAGAUUUUGAAUGGAAUUACACUUGGUACAGAGACGGCAAUGAGAUGGCAGACAUCUCUGCAGAUAUUCAUGUCAAAUCCACCAAGGAAACGUACCAGAGUGAAUACACGUGCCGAGGGGCCCGACUCCAGCGUCCGACAUAUUCAGCACUCAGUGAAGCUUUUAUAGCAAACAACCUUGUUCUGAAACGGAAAAUCCUUCUCUCUAUUUCGGGCUGUUUGGUUGUCGGCAUUGUCCUUAUUGUGCUGGGCUGUAUCAUUCUGAAGGUGACCCGGAAGCCAGUAAAAGAGAGCAAAACGGCACCAGACUUGUUUUUCACCAUGGCUGAACUAAAGACACGUGCGGAUAUUGGUUCGACAGCAGACUUAUGCGCAGCUGAAAGUGUUGAUAAACUUAAAACAACAGAAAAGACUGAGUCUGAAGAGCAUCCAUGUCUUGCUGAGGAGCUGCUGAAAGAAGCCAAAGAAAGCCAAGAUGACAAGGAAACAGAUGGGUUUAUAUCAUUUAAAGCUUAGGCUUGUGACCAUACCUGCCCUGUGGAUGUUUCAACCUCCCAUCUCAUCCAAGAUGUCUAAUUCUCUAUGCCAGGAGGUAUCGCAUAUUAUAGUGUAUAAACAGGAGUAUUGCAGCUCUUGUGCAGAAACAAAUGCCAAUAGAACACACCUGAUUUGUUUCACAAGUAGGCUACCAUCUCUCUUUUCAAAAUCUUGUAUUUUUGUAUUAGGAUCUCGUAUUCUUGUAUUCAGACCUUGCGAAAGGAUUUUUCAUAAAUCAGAUUCUGUUUGAUGUCUAUGUUUAUAUUAAAGUCAGUGCCAUUGUGUUAUACGUUGUUUUAUACCAGUCGUUUUAGG
Molecule: long non-coding RNA, 1023 nt
Organism: Clupea harengus (Atlantic herring)
Lineage: Eukaryota; Metazoa; Chordata; Actinopteri; Clupeiformes; Clupeidae
Source: Ensembl